Molecule: ribosomal RNA, 525 nt
Filed under: Byrrhoidea sp. UPOL RK0163
Lineage: Eukaryota; Metazoa; Arthropoda; Insecta; Coleoptera
Description: partial 16S ribosomal RNA
Rfam family: Archaeal large subunit ribosomal RNA
Source: RNAcentral
CAUGUCCUUUUGAAUUUAAUUUAAGGUUUGACCUGCCCAAUGACAUUAGUUUAAUGGCCGCGGUAUUUUGACCGUGCAAAGGUAGCAUAAUAAUUAGUUUUUUAAUUGAAAGCUUGUAUGAAUGGUUGGACGAGAAAAUGACUGUCUCUGAUUAAUUUAAAUAUAACUUAAUUUUUAAGUUAAAAAGCUUAAAUUUUUUUAAAAGACGAGAAGACCCUAUAGAGUUUUAUUUAGCGUGGAUUUAUUUUAUUGGUAUAAUUUAUUUUUAAAUUUUUAGCUGAAUUUUUCUGGGGCGGAAUUGAGAUUUUUUAAACUCUUGUUUUUAUUUACAAUUAUAAUUGGAUUAUUAUGAUCCGUUUUUACGAUUUAAAGAUUAAAUUACCUUAGGGAUAACAGCGUAAUUUUUAUUGAAAGUUCAUAUUGAAAUAAAAGAUUGCGACCUCGAUGUUGGAUUAAAGUUUAAUUUUGGUGUAGGGACUAGAAAAUUGAGUCUGUUCGACUUUUAAAACUUUACAUGAUCUGAGU